UGGGGAAUUUUGGACAAUGGGCGAAAGCCUGAUCCAGCAAUGCCGCGUGAGUGAAGAAGGCCUUCGGGUUGUAAAGCUCUUUUGUCAGGGAAGAAACGGUGAAAGCUAAUAUCUUUUGCUAAUGACGGUACCUGAAGAAUAAGCACCGGCUAACUACGUGCCAGCAGCCGCGGUAAUACGUAGGGUGCAAGCGUUAAUCGGAAUUACUGGGCGUAAAGCGUGCGCAGGCGGUUUUGUAAGUCUGAUGUGAAAUCCCCGGGCUCAACCUGGGAAUUGCAUUGGAGACUGCAAGGCUAGAAUCUGGCAGAGGGGGGUAGAAUUCCACGUGUAGCAGUGAAAUGCGUAGAUAUGUGGAGGAACACCGAUGGCGAAGGCAGCCCCCUGGGUCAAGAUUGACGC
Molecule: ribosomal RNA, 399 nt
Filed under: uncultured bacterium
Lineage: Bacteria
Description: bacterial SSU rRNA
Rfam family: Bacterial small subunit ribosomal RNA
Source: RNAcentral